AUGAGGUUCUCUGCUCAGCUUCUGGGGCUGUUUAUGCUCUGGAUUCCUGUCUCUAGUGGAGAUAUUUUCCUGACCCAGAGUCCACUCAACAAGCCCAUCAUACUUGGAGAGUCAGCCACCAUCUUCUGCAAGUCUAGUCAGAACCUUAAAGAUAGUGGUGGAGACACCUAUGUGAACUGAUACCAGCGGAAACCAGGCCAAGCUCCACGGCUUCUGAUCUAUGUGGUUUCCAACAGGUUCACUGGGGUCCCAGACAGGAUCAGCAGCAGGGGUCUGAUACAGAUUUCACUCUGAAAAUCAACAGAGUGGAGGCUGAGAAUGUUGCAGUUUAUUACUGUCAGCAAGGUACAGAAAAUCCUCCCACAGUGAUAGAGUCCUACACAAAAACCUGUGGUUAA
Molecule: non-coding RNA, 398 nt
Organism: Chrysochloris asiatica (Cape golden mole)
Lineage: Eukaryota; Metazoa; Chordata; Mammalia; Afrosoricida; Chrysochloridae
Source: the annotation of a RefSeq genome assembly